Molecule: small nuclear RNA, 19 nt
Filed under: Arabidopsis thaliana (thale cress)
Lineage: Eukaryota; Viridiplantae; Streptophyta; Magnoliopsida; Brassicales; Brassicaceae
Description: snRNA_11505
Source: RNAcentral
UCAUAACCGCAUCAGGUCU